UACGUAGGGUGCGAGCGUUGUCCGGAAUUAUUGGGCGUAAAGAGCUCGUAGGCGGUCUGUCGCGUCGGUCGUGAAAACUUGGGGCUUAACCCCGAGCUUGCGGUCGAUACGGGCAUGACUGGAGUUCGGCAGGGGAGACUGGAAUUCCUGGUGUAGCGGUGAAAUGCGCAGAUAUCAGGAGGAACACCGGUGGCGAAGGCGGGUCUCUGGGCCGAUACUGACGCUGAGGAGCGAAAGCGUGGGUAGCAAACAGG
This 254-nucleotide ribosomal RNA is filed under the name uncultured bacterium. Its description in RNAcentral is "partial 16S ribosomal RNA". It matches the Rfam family "Bacterial small subunit ribosomal RNA", at positions 524 to 776 of the family's 1533-position model. The record is from RNAcentral.